This is a long non-coding RNA of Nylanderia fulva, 5890 nucleotides long. RefSeq lists it as uncharacterized. Lineage: Eukaryota; Metazoa; Arthropoda; Insecta; Hymenoptera; Formicidae. The record is from RefSeq and is a predicted model, not a curated record.
AUAAUGAAUCUUUGCUAUUUAUUCUUCUUUUUUUUUAUAUCUUUCUCUUUUUGGAAUUUGUGGAGAUGGAUUUAAGAUUGUAGAUUGUAAUAGUUAUAUAUGCGAGAUUUAAAAUUACGAAAGACACUAAAUUACGCUAUUUUUUUCAUUUGCAAGUUUAAUUUCUACAAAAAGGGUGCGAAAGUGUAAACAAAACUAUAUACAUAUUUAUGACAGAUCGGACUAUGACGGAUCGAGAUUCAGAUGUGCCAUUUGUAAUGCAAAAUAAAAUCGAAUUAAUUUUAAUGCAAAUCAAACUCUAUAUAGCAUUAUCCGCGACUCGCGCAUAAAACUGCACUCCCUGCAUCGGGCGAGUUCAAUAACGAGUUUCGUUCAAUUAAUCAGCUGCUUCGAAAAAAUUUUCUCGCGCUAAUUCUCGGGGAGGUUUAUACCGUGAAAUAAUUUCAGAUAAUGAUAUACGAUGUCGUGCACGGAAAAAGUAUACUCCAAGUCGGUCAGAAUUAGUACUUUUAUUAUAUUUCAGUAUUAAUUUCUUUGAAAAAUAAACUAAUAGAAAACCUAUUUCGACAACAGUAAAUAAAUUGUGGAGAAAAAUUGAAAGCGUUUUCUCUGAGAAAAUUAAUUGCAAUAAGAAAAAUAUUGGAAAUAAAUAAAAGUAUAAAUAUAAAAAUAAUGACUGUACAGAAUCCGAAGAAUCCCUCGUAAAAUAAAUUCAUUUAUUAUAUAUACGCGAUAUAUUACUUAAUAUCUUAAUUCGAGAAAUUCGUCAUAUCACACGAGUCCGUGCGUGACAUCGAAAAUAACAGCUCGAUGCAAUAGUCAAAGGUCACGUUUGAAAGGAUUGGGGGGAAGAAGAGUAUUCUUCUAGGAUGAGCCAAGUGGUAACCCUGGGCUUUUUCGCAACCCCGAUAAAGAAUAGCGGGACCAACCCUGGUGCCGCUGGCGCGACACACAAUUCUCUGGCGGUGUGUUUCGAGGUUACAAGAACGAGCGACGAAUGGCUGCGUGUGUGUACAUGUGUGUGUGGCCCAGCGCCACGCAGCUUGGCACGGCUUUUUCGGCCACGGAGAUUGCAUAAUCGCGGCCCCAUCGUGUGUAAGCGCGCAACGUGUCGCGUCCGACGUUAGUCGCGUCUAGCUCGCCUCUCGCACUAGUCUCUCUCUCUCUCUCUCUCUCUCUCUCUCUCGCCGCGUCUUUUCUUUUUUUCCACCUUUUCGAGCUCUGCUCCCUCGGCUACUUAUAGUUGCUAGUGCCAUUGAGAACAAAGCGUCGACAAAAGUUCGUCCUGAGAUCGUUUAUAUGUCGCGGCCGCGAGAGAUCAACCUUCUUUAAAACCCCGAACAGUAAUCGCGUCUUGAGGGAAGUUGAAAUUUUCGUUUUAAUCGUAUCUUAUUGUUCAUUCUCUAAAAACGUGUGAUACCCGAAGAGAAUUUUCUCGUAGAAUUUACCCGGAAAAUUAUGCUAUUCGUGUAAGAAUUUCUCUGAUUAAUAUUUACCACGAUAAAAAAUAUCGAUAUGUACGUAGUCAAAUUAAUCGAACAUAUUUUAUUUCUUCAGAGAUACUCUUAUUGUCUCAUCACGAUUAUCAUGAUUUUCCGGUAAAUUUUAAGAGAAAAUUCUGUGUAACAAUUGGUACAAUUCAUAUAUCGCGAACUAAAAAAAUCGAUCGGUCUACUUGGUAUUUUCUCGAUCGCUAAAUCCUCGGGAGGGAAAAAAACAGAUGUGAUGUGCAACGUCAUUAGCGUUAUUUACGACCUCGCGAGAUGGAUCCGUGGAAGGCACGACGUGCAUCGCGAUGGCACGGCAGAGAAUCGAUCGUUAAGCUCGUUUAAACGGCAAAGUGGUACAAUUACGCCGAAGCGAGAGCGUCACCUCGGAUUUCCCAUCACGUGCGCAUCCCAUCGUCGCGGUUUGUGUUUCUCGCUUCCUUCUCUCCCAGCAUCCUCGACCCUCUCGUCCUAUUUCAAUCCUUUCCAAUUCGUUAGAACCGUAAAGAAGCUUCCGCGACACCCGCGAAUCAUCGCUUUUUUUCCUUCUAACGUUAAGCUAAUUAACUCCUUCGCAGUGUAUGUAGCAUAUAUGCACAGAAAAAAGACCAGUGCAACCAGUGUGUAAUGUACAUAUAUUAUAUAUAUGCACACCUAAAACAAAUAGAUUUAUCCUUUUGAGAUUUGUAUGAAACUCGAUGUGCUAUUUUGGUUUUUAAAUUUCGCUGAAUUCUCGAAUAGAUCAGAAUUUCAAGAUGGCGGUUCAAAAUUUGAAGUCGCUACAUCGAAAUAUAUCUGAAUUACCAAAAUGGCAGAUCAAACUUUGCUGAAAAGAGUCACCUAAAACUAAUAAUUUAUCGAAACUUUAUCAAAAAUAUAUUAAUAUAUAUCAAAUUUUAGAUCCGCCAUUUUGAAUUUUGAAAUUCUGGUGCCAUAUUCGGAUUCAGCGAUCUAAGAAACUUGUUCUCACACGCACUGGUAUACCAUAAAACUCUCAUUUUCGCCACACUGUGAAGGAGUUAAGUGCGCGAUAGCGCGUGAAAGCAAUAAGUGUUUGCUCGUUCGAAUAUUCUCUCAUCGUGUACGAUUUCGUCGCGCGCUCGUUCUGCAUUUGCCCAUUCGAUCGAUAUACAUAUAAAGAUAUGAUUCAUAAUCUCCGCGGCAAUUAUGCAGUCUAAAUUUACAUUCCAGAUCAAUCGCACUUGUUUCAAUUCAAUUCUGAAGCAAUUCCGAGAUUCCUUUGCAAGAUAUCGGGCACCAGUGUAGAAGCUUUGAAAUAUUUGAAUAAUGUACAUAAAAUUUGUGAAUGAUAUAUCGAAUCUCCUUUGGCACGCGCCCGUUGGACAGAGAGCGAAGAAACAGUGGCAUAUUCAGCUGGCUGGCAACGUUUUCUACUUCGCUGGACUAGCCUUUUGCCGCUACUGCCGCGGACUACUGAGCUUCUGCUCUAGGCCGAGUUUAGUCGCGAGCAGAGGCAGCUCUAGUCGUCGCUCAGCUGUCGCGCGAAUCGCCCGCACGCGCGUGAUAUACACGUAACAGACAUAUAUCGCUCUCGCUUUGUUUGUCGCACGUCAUCGCAAAUUACUUCGAUAUUAUCGAGGAAACGAUUUCGCUCGUUCGCGUAACACGCGAAUAUACAAAUUACGUCGUGAGAAGUUGAGAUUAUCUCGUUGAAUUUAUUUCUAAUUAUUCCCAUGCUUCUCAUCUAUAUACCGGACAAGAUUCUUCUCUUCGUCGUUUUGUCUUCGUCAUUAUAUAUUCCAAGCGUUCGCCGUCUCGCUUCCCGGAGAUCGAUUUCCAUUCCGCGAGGAGAUUAUUUAUUCGGCGCGAUACGCUCGCAACAAUGCGCGGUCCAAGGUCGGCGAUUGUGUAACGUCACCGUUCCGGAGCAGAUCGCGAUCGCUUCUUACACUUUAUCUAAAUAUAACGAAGAGAUACUUGAACAGUAGUCUACGAUCGUCAGCGAGAGAGAUGACUUGAGAAUAAUCUCGAUAAUCAUUUCGCGAGGAUCGAGGGGGAUAAAUAAACACGAAGUAAGAAAAUGUUUCUCCGAUCUAAGGAAUUAUCGCAAUGAAGCAUCCGUAACUCGCUUCUCGGGACGCAUCGGUGGCGUCUAUGAAAGGAUUAGCUGUCUAAGAGCAUUGAAAAAAAAAAGGAGAAGCGCCAGUGCGCGUUAACACGAAGACGAAGACGACGAAACGACGCGUCCCGACGCCGGAGCGUCGCCGGGGACAGUGACUGCUAUUAUUAGCGACGUCGUCCUCUUCUCAUUUCGCGCUUCGAGAGGCAAAAUAGCAUCAGCUGACAUCCUUCUGGAAGAUACGCCCGAGAAUUCUUUCGCCUCUUCCGUUUUUUCGGAGGCGAAUUCGGGGAGUAGCCGAUAAUUAUAUAGUCGCGAAUGAUUAAUUAAGGAUAAACCAAGAACUAAGAGAGCCUGAGAGGACGUGCGAAUAAUUUUAAGUUUAUCGAUCAAAUUAAUUGGACGUUUUUUUAACGUUGCUUGAUUGAACGAAUUUAAUUAUACAAUUUUUAUAAUAUAAAUAUUACAACGUUAGCUGAUGUAAAAUAGACGACAUGCUGUAAAAAUAUGAAUAUUAAUAUUUCUUCCUCUUUUCGAACUUGAAUUACACGUCGAGAGGAGUAAUCGCGUGACUCGAGUUCCGUCGUUACAUAAGCGUUUACAUUUUUGUUUAACACGCGCGCAAUGAAUUGCGAUCAGCGGCGAGUUAAAUAUCAUCGUGCAGCGAGACGCUUCUCUCCGUUGAAGCGGUUUAAAAGACACUGACGUUAUUAUUGUGCGAGUUCGUUGCGAGGGAGAGAAAAGUCGAAAAGAAAGGGAGCGAGAAUCGAGGGUAAAUGAGAGAGCACGACUGCAAAGAUUAACCGAGUAAAGAGAGCACGAGAGCGGAAACGAGCCAAUACGAGAUCGCAGGGCAGUUGGGGCUCGUGCCAGAUGCGCGUUUACACGGGCCCUGAAUACUGUAAAUGCACUAUCUGGUACGACAUCUCUUCUGUCGCCGUCAUCGACGAUAUCAUACGGGUUUGAUACGCCCGACUACGACUUUAUAGCGCCGUAGAUUAAGUUCCAACCGCGGCAAAAAUUCGGCAUCCGUAUACAUAUAUAUAUUUAUCACGAGGGGAUAUCGAGGCCGAGAAAAGCGCGAAGCUUUUCUGAAGCUUCGAAAUCCUUACAUAUGCUGUGUACGUAUAUUAAUAUAUCAUGCCAUGCAAUAAUAUACAAUUUUUACGUACUCGAAAAAAUGCUGCGUUUCUUUCGAUGUAAGAAAUUUUGGUGGAACUGUGUCGUGUAUUUAGAGUAGCGGAACAUUUGUUUGAAAAUAAAAUUAUUUUGUUUUUAAUCAAAAAAAAUUAUACUCGAUUUUAAAACAUCGAAAAUUGAAAGAUUUUCAGGCGAACUGUUGAAAUAUGCUUUCUUACAGUCUAAUUGUAUUUUUCAUCUCUGCUAAUUGUAAGACAUUUUUAGCCCCUUUUCAACGAGAAUAAUAUGUAUAAUAUCUAUAUUCAGAGUUCUCUCUCAAACUCGUUAGAAGAAAAGAGCAUGAGAAAGUAUUACACUAUCCUUUCCUCUUAUUCGAGUUACAAUUCUAAUUAUUAUUAUAAUUAUAAUUAUAAUUAAAUGCACAACGAAUAAAACAGCGAAAUGCUAUAAUAUUACAAGAACUAGAUUAUUAAUAGCGGUCCUUUGGAAGCAAAUGUUAAUUAAAUUAUAAUCUUCCUAUACGUCCAAAAGUUUUAAUUGGAAUAAUUGCGUCGGAAAUAUUCGUUCGGGAUCACUGGCUUAAAAUUUAAAGCAAUAAUUUACGGCAAUAACGUUUGACAUUUACGUUUGCGUGGAUUUGGGCUUCAAACGAUCGACACAAUUCGAGUUUCCCGUAAUUAGUAUAAAACAUCGAUAUCUAUAAUAGAAAGUAAUUCUAUACACACACUAUACAUGAGAAAUCUGUUUCAAAUUCUACAAACAGUAUGUACGUAUGUGUGCCGCAAUAAAUAAAUCCCGCUGUGAAAAAAAUUGCUCUCUACCUCCCUUUUCUUCUCUUUCAAUUGUAAAACAUGUCGUAUGUGGGAGGCAGAGAAAGGGGUGCAUUCAAGCGACCGAACGCGCAUGUUGCGUUUUUUUUUUUUUUUUUUUUUUUCCUCGAUAUUAUCGACAAUGAUGACUCCCUGUGAAUUGCUGCGUAAUGGCGUUCGAUCGUCCAUGACGAAGGAUUUGUUAACGGAAGAGUGCGUGCGUUUUGUUGCAGCGCCUACAUUCGGUUCAUGCUUUACAUAACAAUUUUAUACCUACACAUACAUACAUACAUACAUGCACACCGCGUAUAGGAUCCUAGGGUGUAUUGUAUCACGAAUGACAAUAAAAAUCAUCCAAUGCGUUCUUCAUUUAA